Molecule: ribosomal RNA, 483 nt
Filed under: uncultured bacterium
Lineage: Bacteria
Description: partial 16S ribosomal RNA
Rfam family: Bacterial small subunit ribosomal RNA
Source: RNAcentral
ACUCAAAGGAAUAGACGGGGGCCCGCACAAGCGGCGGAGCGUGCGGUUUAAUUCGACGCAACGCGCAAAACCUUACCGAGGCUUGACAUGGGACUGCAGCCGCGUGAAAGCGCGGGGCCUUCGAGGGUGUCCCACAGGUGCUGCAUGGCUGUCGUCAGCUCGUGCCGUGAGGUGUUGGGUUAAGUCCCGCAACGAGCGCAACCCUCGCGCCUAGUUGAAUCUAUCUAGGCGGACUGCCGGCCGCAAACCGGAGGAAGGUGGGGAUGAUGUCAAGUCAGCAUGGCCCUUACGCCUCGGGCUACACGCACGCUACAAUGGCCGGGACAGUGGGUAGCCAAGCCGCAAGGCGGAGCGAAUCCCCCAAACCCGGUCUCAGUUCGGAUCGCGGGCUGCAACUCGCCCGCGUGAAGGCGGAGUCGCUAGUAACCGCGGGUCAGCACUACCGCGGUGAAUAUGUUCCCGGGCCUUGUACACACCGCCCGU